Molecule: unclassified non-coding RNA, 254 nt
Filed under: plant metagenome
Description: partial contains small subunit ribosomal RNA, internal transcribed spacer 1, and 5.8S ribosomal RNA
Source: RNAcentral
UUUCCGUAGGUGAACCUGCGGAAGGAUCAUUAUCGAGUUUUGAACGGGUUGUUUGCUGGCUCGCAAGGGCAUGUGCACGCCUGCCUUAUCUACUCUCAACUUCUGUGCACUUUUCAUAGGCCGGCUUGUGGGUGCGUUCGCGCACUUGUAGGUGUCGGGCUUAUGCUUUACUACAAACGAUUCAGUUUUAGAAUGUCAUACUUUGCUAUAACGCAAUUUAUAUACAACUUUCAGCAACGGAUCUCUUGGCUCUC